CGCUUGGAGUCAGUCGCGUCUUCUGGAACUCAGCCUUGCUUCUGCUUGGUGCACUUUCCAGUUUGACGGGUCAGCAUCGGUUUCGGUGGGCAGACAAAGGCGUGGGGAAGGUGGCCGCUCCGGCGGUGUUAUAGCCCCG
Molecule: ribosomal RNA, 139 nt
Filed under: Trechisporales sp.
Lineage: Eukaryota; Fungi; Basidiomycota; Agaricomycetes; Trechisporales
Description: partial large subunit ribosomal RNA
Source: RNAcentral